This 468-nucleotide ribosomal RNA is filed under the name uncultured bacterium. RNAcentral's name for it is "partial 16S ribosomal RNA". It matches the Rfam family "Bacterial small subunit ribosomal RNA", at positions 28 to 507 of the family's 1533-position model. The record is from RNAcentral.
GACGAACGCUGGCGGCGUGCUUAACACAUGCAAGUCGAACGGAAAGGCCCUGCUUUUGUGGGGUGCUCGAGUGGCGAACGGGUGAGUAACACGUGAGUAACCUGCCCUUGACUUUGGGAUAACUUCAGGAAACUGGGGCUAAUACCGGAUAGGAGCUCCUGCUGCAUGGGGGGGGUUGGAAAGUUUCGGCGGUUGGGGAUGGACUCGCGGCUUAUCAGCUUGUUGGUGGGGUAGUGGCUUACCAAGGCUUUGACGGGUAGCCGGCCUGAGCGGGUGACCGGCCACAUUGGGACUGAGAUACGGCCCAGACUCCUACGGGAGGCAGCAGUGGGGAAUAUUGCACAAUGGGCGGAAGCCUGAUGCAGCAACGCCGCGUGCGGGAUGACGGCCUUCGGGUUGUAAACCGCUUUCGCCUGUGACGAAGCGUGAGUGACGGUAAUGGGUAAAGAAGCACCGGCUAACUACGUG